This 449-nucleotide ribosomal RNA is filed under the name uncultured bacterium. RNAcentral's name for it is "partial 16S ribosomal RNA". It matches the Rfam family "Bacterial small subunit ribosomal RNA", at positions 29 to 523 of the family's 1533-position model. The record is from RNAcentral.
AGCGAACGCUGGCGGCAGGCUUAACACACGCAAGUCGAACGCCAUCUUCGGAUGGAGUGACAGACGGGUGAGUAACGCGUGGAAACAUACCUUUUGCUUCGGAAUAUUCCCGGGAAACUGGGAGCAAUACCGAAUACGCCCUGAGGGGGAAAGAUUUAUCGGCAAAAGAUUGGUCCGCGUUAGAUUAGGUAGUUGGUAGGGUAAUGGCAUACCAAGCCUACGAUCUAUAGCUGGUCUGAGAGGAUGAUCAGCCACAUUGGGACUGAGACACGGCCCAAACUCCUACGGGAGGCAGCAGUGGGGAAUAUUGGACAAUGGGCGAAAGCCUGAUCCAGCCAUGCCGCGUGAAUGAUGAAGGCCUUAGGGUUGUAAAAUUCUUUCACCGGGGACGAUAAUGACGGUACCCGGAGAAGAAGCCCCGGCUAACUUCGUGCCAGCCGCCGCGGUAA